AGAGCAGCAACAAAACUUGCCUGGGAGGAAUACAGGGUAAUUUGAAUAGGAUCUUGAGUUACCCUGUGACUUCGAAAGAACAACAAACUAUAUGACAAAAUCCUUCAUGCAAAUAACUUCCAAGCGGAAAGAAUGACUGGCUCUACUAAACCCCAGCUCACUCCUGAUAUCCUGUUAGCUUGAAGAGGAGUAAAAUGUAAAUAAAAGCGACUCCUUAUGCUGCUUAAAUAUUUCUUUCGUAUCAAAUUAGAAGACAAGUGAUGUGUAAAAUGUGUCAACAGAAAACCAGUGUGAAAAGCUGAACCCAAGCAAGAAGGAUCACACAUUCCUGACCCAGUGCAAUCUACGUUGUCGCUGAAAGUAUUAACAAGGUGGGGGAAAAAAAAAAUAAAAUUUCAACAUUCAUAACUUUAAUGAGCCUAAGAGAAAUGACUGGAAAUCAUACUGAACGGCCUCCUGAGAGAAGAAAAAAAAAAAAGUAUAUGGAGAAUCAAAUUAGUAAGAGCCACAGUGAAAGGAACGCCAGAUUGUUUUAAUGGACAAUUUUGUGGGCAUAUUCAGCAGGAUGUUUUAUAUUUCCUAUAUACCUAAAUGUGUAUUUGGACUACGUAGCCUUUGGCAAAGGGAGCAAUUAAAAGACAAAACAGCUUGAUGAACUGGAACAAACAUGAAAGUGAAACUAGGACAUUGGGUUUAAUUACUUGCAGAAAUAGGCACGGGUUUGCAAGAUUAGCUUGAACAAAUGGGAAGCCUUGAUGAGAUAAAAUAUUGUCUAUAAACUCAUGGCAUUUUUCUUUCCUUUCAGGAGAAACUUGCUGCUGCUGGUCCCUCUGCCCCAAGCUCUCACAGAUCCAAGCCUACAAAACCCAGUGUCACACAUCUCAUAGGCCAAGAUUAUUUUUCGGAACGAUUAGCCUCAGCUGGGAUAGCCUCUAGCUAAGGGCAGCCCACGCAGGUAGGUGCUGUGUGGAUCGUGACUGCACGUGUAGCUCCGCCUGGCUGAGCUCCUUCUCUGCAGCCAUCUGCUGCUUCACCUGAAAUACGCUCAGCUGGGCACUCCUCCAGUGUCUGUAACAUUCCACUGUUGGUUUUGUUGUUGUUGUUGGGUUGGGUUUUUUUGGUCAUAAAAAGGUUAAUGUGCAAGGUAAGGUCAUAAAUAUCUUAGGGACAGUCUUGCUGCUACACUGUAAUGACAGUGCUAGAGAGACAUGAACUGCAGAAUUUUCAACAGGCACACUAUCUGAAUUAAUGUUAUUAAAUGAGCCAAGCUGUGCAAAACGUAAAAUGUUUGGUUUUAGCAUUAAAUCUUGUUGUAUACUUUUCUUUUUUCCUCCUGGUUUGGUUCACUAUGGGCUUGCACCCAUUUCAUUUAGCAGCGGUGGGAGAGGCUUAACACUGUGGUUGGUUCCAUUAUGUCCCUGGUCCUCCCUUUAUUCCAGAUCUCAAAAAAUACCUUGAGAAGGUGGGAUGGGACAGGUGUGGAAGUCCUGAGCAGCCCUUGCAGUGUUCAGUGGGGAAGUGAUGAUGACAAGCCCUAAGUGUAGUGCAGCCAGUCCGUGCAGGCCGUCCGGGUACACGGGGAGGGGGGCUGAGCAUCCCCAGUUGUGCUCCACAGCAAAAAAACUUGGGUGUCAUGUUCUCAGGAUUGUGACCAAGUGUUAAGGGAGUGAGUAAAAUUACUUAAGGUUGGUUUAAAGAGAUGAUAAAAUAAUUUUUUUUCUCGAUUCACUUCUCUCCAGCUUAAGAGGUCAGCAGCAACAGUCUUGAUUUUCAGUGCAUUGCUACUACUGAUGUAGAGACAUAGGUGGACGCUGCCUUCCCUGGACCAAAAGAUAACCCGUCGCUUUCAUCCCGUCUUUAAUGUCAGAUUGUAAAACGUACAGGACAGUGUUAUCUUCCGGUAGCAAGUGAAGCCCAAGGUCUUGCUGGUCCUACACCUAUGUGUAGGGAUGAGAGCUAAGCUCUGCAGAAGUCACUGUAAAACAGCAGUUAGAAGGGUGAGAUGCUGUUUUCUAAUAUCUCAGAUGGUUUGUUGAUUGCUGAAGUGGUCAGGGAAGACAUUUAUCCUAGCUAGAAUGUCUAUAAAUUAAUAAUUCCCAUGAAUUUAGUAGGUUUUAGAACCUUUUAUACUCGGAGU
This is a long non-coding RNA of Athene cunicularia (burrowing owl), 2137 nucleotides long. RefSeq lists it as uncharacterized. The record is from RefSeq and is a predicted model, not a curated record. Lineage: Eukaryota; Metazoa; Chordata; Aves; Strigiformes; Strigidae. The transcript is spliced from 2 exons.